GGAACCUUAGUUUAAUGGUAGAACCCUGGAUUUUCGUUCCAGUGAUAGGGGUUCAAUUCCCCUAGGUCUCG
Molecule: transfer RNA, 71 nt
Filed under: Monoblepharella sp. JEL15
Lineage: Eukaryota; Fungi; Monoblepharomycota; Monoblepharidomycetes; Monoblepharidales; Monoblepharidaceae
Description: tRNA-Glu
Rfam family: tRNA
About the family: Transfer RNA (tRNA) molecules are approximately 80 nucleotides in length. Their secondary structure includes four short double-helical elements and three loops (D, anti-codon, and T loops). Further hydrogen bonds mediate the characteristic L-shaped molecular structure. tRNAs have two regions of fundamental functional importance: the anti-codon, which is responsible for specific mRNA codon recognition, and the 3' end, to which the tRNAs corresponding amino acid is attached (by aminoacyl-tRNA synthetases). tRNAs cope with the degeneracy of the genetic code in two manners: having more than one tRNA (with a specific anti-codon) for a particular amino acid; and 'wobble' base-pairing, i.e. permitting non-standard base-pairing at the 3rd anti-codon position.
Source: RNAcentral